GGCUGUGGCUCAGUGGUAGAGCACUUGCUUGGCAUGUGUAAGGCCCUGGGUUCGAUUCUCAGCACCA
Molecule: transfer RNA, 67 nt
Filed under: Marmota monax (woodchuck)
Lineage: Eukaryota; Metazoa; Chordata; Mammalia; Rodentia; Sciuridae
Description: tRNA.Ala
Rfam family: tRNA
About the family: Transfer RNA (tRNA) molecules are approximately 80 nucleotides in length. Their secondary structure includes four short double-helical elements and three loops (D, anti-codon, and T loops).
Source: RNAcentral